Molecule: long non-coding RNA, 390 nt
Filed under: Coffea arabica (coffee)
Lineage: Eukaryota; Viridiplantae; Streptophyta; Magnoliopsida; Gentianales; Rubiaceae
Description: long non-coding RNA (CARA_LNC005197)
Source: RNAcentral
CUCUCGGAGACGGACAUAACAAGAAGAAAAAAAAAAACUCUUCACUCGGCUCUCCCUAUCACAGAAGAGAAGCCACAAAAAAAAAGAAACAAAAAGCACUCCCCAACUCUCUCCCUCUCUCGGACUGGGCAGAAGAAAGAAAACAGAACAAAAAAAGAAAGAAAGCUCCCUCACUCUCUCGGCCAUAUCCCUCUCUUUGCUCACUUCACACAACACACCCACACACUAUCCAGACACAAGGAGGCAGCCGCCGGUUGGACAAAGAGCUUGGAACUUCCUCAAAAUUUUAGUCAAGGGACCACAACCUCAUUGAGGUAUUUUUUUUUUCCAGCUUUUCCUUUUUUAAUUAAUUAGAUUAAAUGCAUGUUUGGCUACCUAUUUGUCUCUUCC